GACAGAGGUGCCGAGCGUUAGGCGGAAUCACUGGGCUUAAAGCGUGUGUAGGCGGAUACCUAAGUACCUUGUGAAAUCCCACGGCUCAACCGUGGAACUGCUCGGUAUACUGGGCGUCUUGAGCCAGCUAGGGGCAACCGGAACAAACGGUGGAGCGGUGAAAUGCGUAGAUAUCGCUUGGAACGCCGAAGGUGAAAACAGGCUGCUGGGGUUAUGCCGACGCUGAGACACGAAAGCCAGGGGAGCAAACGGG
Molecule: ribosomal RNA, 253 nt
Filed under: uncultured bacterium
Lineage: Bacteria
Description: partial 16S ribosomal RNA
Rfam family: Bacterial small subunit ribosomal RNA
Source: RNAcentral